UUUUUAUUUUAAAGUUUAAAUUAAAGGCGGUGUUAUUUGCUUAAAAUUAAAAUAUAUAAUAGGGGAUUCGCUAACCUUUAUAUUUUCUGGGCCAUUAGUGUUAAUAAACUAAUAUAUAUUUUUAAAAACUCGACAAAGCCUAUUUUGUUUGGAACCCAAUUUUGGUCCUUAUAAUGUCCCAAUUUUGGGAUAAAUUUAAUAUAAGGAAAUAUAUUUUUGUUUAUAGAAAAAAAUCGUUGGUCGAUUGCGUUAAUUUAAUAUUAUAUUAUCUAAUUUAUUACGGAAGAUUUUCAAAUCCGUCGAUGUUUGGAAUCCGUAUAAUAUCGCAAAAUAUUUUGCCUUUCCUUGCAUGGUUUUUCCCUGUUCGGAAUUCUAAUAUUUGGUCCGAACAACCGUUGGCUACGAUAAAAUUAAUAAACAGACGGAAACCAUGGAAGGGCGGAUUAAAAUUUGUAUCAAAUAUUUAAUACGACGCGGCUAAAAUCGAUGUUUUUUCUAUAGGUAUGCAAAGAAUAUAACCAAAGAAAGAAGACCCGGAACAGAUAAAUUAUUGUACAAAUUCUUUUAAAUGUAAUAAAACUCUUUUAUAAUUUCUUCUUUAAUUUAAAACGUAAUAUACCUUUUUCGACUGGAAACUAGCGUUUUAUAAUAAGGGAUUUUUCCUGGCAAUACAUUUACCGCCUUAUAACUUGGUAUUAUUUUCUUUGGGUGCGGUUAUAGGAUUAAAUUGCUUUAACCUUACCCGCGUCCCCAGCAAAACGUGUGGUCGCGAUAUAAUUAACCAAUUAUAUGUCAGGCUGUUAAUAAAACCUAAAUAGUAUAAUUAUUUGGUGCGUUAAAUCUUCCGUAUAAUUUGUAUUUUUUUCGGCUGGGAGAAAUAAUAGGCUUUAGCGGUGGUAAAAAUCACUAAUUUAAUCGAUUUAUAUUUUAUAAUUUUGGUUGUAUCGUCUGUUAAAUUCCCGUUUUUCCUACCGCAACGUCCAUUAAUCCAGCCGCAAUAUAAAAGCAAUUUCAUUUUAUGGACCAUUAAGAAAAAAAGAAUGCGAACAAACAAAAACCGCUUGACGGGAUUAAAAAAAAUCUCGAAAUUAAAUAUGGGUUUCCUCGGCCCAUAAUAUAACCAUUAAUUAUUUUCCCCAAAUAAGUUUUUACCUUUCAGCCCAAAUUCGGGGUUUUUUCGCCGCAAAAAUCGGUUCGCAGCUGGUACAAAAUUUUAACAUACCUGAUAAAUCCAAUAAAAAUUUUAAUUUACAAUUUUAAACAAAUUUUAGGACAUUUUCUAAAAUAUAUAUUAACCCUAACGGACUAACCUUUUGAUAAAAACAACCCUAAUUUGGGAUUGGAUUUAUAUUUUAUAAUUGGAAAACCGAGACAGGUUUUAGCAAUAUUAAUUAUAAAUACUUGGGCGUCCCAGUAAUCCGAAAUGGUAAUUUGAAAGGGUAAACAAUAUAUCCUAAUUAAAUUGUAAUAUAUAUUAUAUUUUCCGUAUUUAGAGAAAAACUGGUUGCAGAACGUCGCGCAAAAAUUAAUGUUUUGAAACGACGGGCUAAUACGACCAGAUAGCAAUAUUAUAAUAUUAUAUUUAACAAAACUAAUAAAGAAAUAGCAACGUUUAAUAAUGCAGACGCGAUAAUAAUCGACAAUUAAAAGUUUCCAAAUAAUAAAA
This 1666-nucleotide small RNA is filed under the name Pyricularia oryzae. RNAcentral's name for it is "Magnaporthe oryzae sRNA M_BR32_EuGene_00139441". Lineage: Eukaryota; Fungi; Ascomycota; Sordariomycetes; Magnaporthales; Pyriculariaceae. The record is from RNAcentral.